GGACCAAUAGCUUAGUUGGUUUAGAGCAAGGUCACCAGUUAUGCCUAGAUCCCAGGUUCAAUCCUUAGUUAGUCUA
Non-coding RNA from Stygiomarasmius scandens, 76 nucleotides. NCBI's taxonomy places the organism in Eukaryota, Fungi, Basidiomycota, Agaricomycetes, Agaricales, Campanellaceae. The record is from the annotation of a GenBank genome assembly.